RNAcentral lists this ribosomal RNA (253 nucleotides) under uncultured bacterium. RNAcentral describes it as "partial 16S ribosomal RNA". It matches the Rfam family "Bacterial small subunit ribosomal RNA", at positions 524 to 776 of the family's 1533-position model. The record is from RNAcentral.
UACGGAGGGUGCGAGCGUUGUCCGGAAUCACUGGGCGUAAAGGGCGCGUAGGCGGCUUGAUAAGUAGGGGGUGAAAUCCUGCGGCUUAACCGCAGGGCUGCCUUCUAAACUGUCAGGCUUGAGCACAGUAGAGGCAGGUGGAAUUCCCGGUGUAGCGGUGGAAUGCGUAGAGAUCGGGAAGAACAUCGGUGGCGAAGGCGGCCUGCUGGGCUGUAACUGACGCUGAGGAGCGAAAGCGUGGGGAGCGAACAGG